CCUACGGGUGGCAGCAGUAGGGAAUAUUGCUCAAUGGGGGAAACCCUGAAGCAGCAACGCCGCGUGGAGGAUGAAGGUUUUCGGAUUGUUAACUUCUUUUGUUAGAGAAGAUAAUGACGUUAUCUAACGAAUAAGCACAGGCUAACACCAUGCCAGCAGCCGCGGUAACACGGAGGGUGCAAGCGUUACUCGGAAUCACUGGGCGUAAAGAGCGCGUAGGCGGGAUAGCAAGUCAGCUGUGAAAUCCUAUGGCUUAACCAUAGAACUGCAUUUGAAACUGUUAUUCUAGAGUAUGGGAGAGGUAGGUGGAAUGUUUGGUGUAGGGGUGAAAUGCGUAGAGAUCAAGAGGAAUACUCAUUGCGAAGGCGACCUGCUAGAACAUAACUGACGCUGAUGCGCGAAAGCGUGGGGAGCGAACAGGAUUAGAUACCCGGGUAGUC
This 440-nucleotide ribosomal RNA is filed under the name uncultured bacterium. Its description in RNAcentral is "partial 16S ribosomal RNA". It matches the Rfam family "Bacterial small subunit ribosomal RNA", at positions 338 to 795 of the family's 1533-position model. The record is from RNAcentral.